GACGAACGCUGGCGGCGUGCUUAACACAUGCAAGUCGAACGGAAAGGCCCUGCUUUUGUGGGGUGCUCGAGUGGCGAACGGGUGAGUAACACGUGAGUAACCUGCCCUUGACUUUGGGAUAACUUCAGGAAACUGGGGCUAAUACCGGAUAGGAGCUCCUGCUGCAUGGUGGGGGUUGGAAAGUUUCGGCGGUUGGGGAUGGACUCGCGGCUUAUCAGCUUGUUGGUGGGGUAGUGGCUUACCAAGGCUUUGACAGGUAGCCGGCCUGAGAGGGUGACCGGCCACAUUGGGACUGAGAUACGGCCCAGACUCCUACGGGAGGCAGCAGUGGGGAAUAUUGCACAAUGGGCGGAAGCCUGAUGCAGCAACGCCGCGGGCGGGAUGACGGCCUUCGGGUUGUAAACCGCUUUCGCCUGUGACGAAGCGUGAGUGACGGCAAUGGGUAAAGAAGCACCGGCUAACUACGUGC
RNAcentral lists this ribosomal RNA (469 nucleotides) under uncultured bacterium. Its description in RNAcentral is "partial 16S ribosomal RNA". It matches the Rfam family "Bacterial small subunit ribosomal RNA", at positions 28 to 508 of the family's 1533-position model. The record is from RNAcentral.